RNAcentral lists this ribosomal RNA (495 nucleotides) under Geotrichum candidum. Its description in RNAcentral is "eukaryotic LSU rRNA". It matches the Rfam family "Eukaryotic large subunit ribosomal RNA", at positions 119 to 655 of the family's 3401-position model. The record is from RNAcentral. Lineage: Eukaryota; Fungi; Ascomycota; Dipodascomycetes; Dipodascales; Dipodascaceae.
AAUCGGCCACCAGGUCGAGUUGUAAUUUGUAGAUUGUAUCUUGAGAGCGGAUUAAAGUCUGUUGGAACACAGCGCCUUAGAGGGUGACAGCCCCGUAAAAUCUAUUCUCAUUGUAAGAUACUUUCGAAGAGUCGAGUUGUUUGGGAAUGCAGCUCUAAGUGGGAGGUAAAUUCCUUCUAAAGCUAAAUAUUGACGAGAGACCGAUAGCGAACAAGUACUGUGAAGGAAAGAUGAAAAGCACUUUGAAAAGAGAGUGAAAAAGUACGUGAAAUUGUUAAAAGGGAAGGGUAUUGAAUCAGACUUGGUGCUGUUGUUCAACUGUGUUUUGGCACAGUGUACUCAGCAGUACUAGGCCAAGGUGGGGUGUUUGGGAGUGAAAAAGAAGUUGGAACGUAACUCUUCGGAGUGUUAUAGCCUACUUUCAUAGCUCCUCAGGCGCCUCAGGACUGCGCUUCGGCAAGGACCUUGGCAUAAUGAUUCUAUACCGCCCGUCUU